ACGAACGCUGGCGGCGUGCUUAACACAUGCAAGUGGAGCGACGAACCGGGGCUUGCCCCGGGGCAGAGCCGCGAACGGGUGAGUAACACGUGGGUAACCUGCCUCAAUGAUUGGGACAACCCGGGGAAACUCGGGCUAAUACCAAAUGUGUUCACUCCUUCCAAGGGGAGUGAGGAAAGGAAGCUUCGGCCUCCGCAUUGAGAUGGGCCCGCGGCCCAUUAGCUUGUUGGUGAGGUAACGGCUCACCAAGGCUUCGAUGGGUAGCUGGUCUGAGAGGACGAUCAGCCACACUGGGACUGAGACACGGCCCAGACUCCUACGGGAGGCAGCAGUGGGGAAUCUUGCACAAUGCGCGAAAGCGUGAUGCAGCAACGCCGCGUGGGGAAGACGGCCUUCGGGUUGUAAACCCCUUUCAGUUGGGACGAAGCUUCGUCGGUGAAUAGCCGGUUGGAGUGACGGUACCUUCAGAAGAAGCCCCGGCUAACUACGUG
Molecule: ribosomal RNA, 491 nt
Filed under: uncultured bacterium
Lineage: Bacteria
Description: bacterial SSU rRNA
Rfam family: Bacterial small subunit ribosomal RNA
Source: RNAcentral